RNAcentral lists this ribosomal RNA (491 nucleotides) under uncultured bacterium. RNAcentral describes it as "bacterial SSU rRNA". It matches the Rfam family "Bacterial small subunit ribosomal RNA", at positions 29 to 509 of the family's 1533-position model. The record is from RNAcentral.
AGUGAACGCUGGCGGCAGGCCUAAUACAUGCAAGUCGAACGGCAGCACAGCAGAGCUUGCUCUGUGGGUGGCGAGUGGCGGACGGGUGAGGAAUACAUGGGAAUCUGCCCAGUCGUGGGGGAUAACGUAUGGAAACGUACGCUAAUACCGCAUGCGCCCUACGGGGGAAAGUCGGGGACCGCAAGGCCUGACGCGAUUGGAUGAGCCCAUGUUCGAUUAGCUAGUUGGCGGGGUAAAGGCCCACCAAGGCGACGAUCGAUAGCUGGUCUGAGAGGAUGAUCAGCCACACUGGAACUGAGACACGGUCCAGACUCCUACGGGAGGCAGCAGUAGGGAAUAUUGGACAAUGGGGGCAACCCUGAUCCAGCCAUGCCGCGUGAGUGAAGAAGGCCCUCGGGUUGUAAAGCUCUUUUGUCCGGAAAGAAAGCAAUCGGUUAAUACCCAGUUGUUCUGACGGUACCGGAAGAAUAAGCACCGGCUAACUUCGUGCC